AAGCGGAGGAAAAGAAACCAACCGGGAUUGCCUUAGUAACGGCGAGUGAAGCGGCAAAAGCUCAAAUUUGAAAUCUAGUACCUUCGGUGCUCGAGUUGUAAUUUGUAGAGGGAUACUUUGGGACCGUUCCUUGUCUAUGUUCCUUGGAACAGGACGUCAUAGAGGGUGAGAAUCCCGUGUGGCGAGGAGUGCGGUUCUAUGUAAAGUGCCUUCGAAGAGUCGAGUUGUUUGGGAAUGCAGCUCUAAGUGGGUGGUAAAUUCCAUCUAAAGCUAAAUAUUGGCGAGAGACCGAUAGCGAACAAGUACAGUGAUGGAAAGAUGAAAAGAACUUUGAAAAGAGAGUGAAAAAGUACGUGAAAUUGUUGAAAGGGAAGGGCAUUUGAUCAGACAUGGUGUUUUGCGCCCUCCGCUCCUUGUGGGUGGGGGAAUCUCGCAGCUCACUGGGCCAGCAUCAGUUUUGGCGGCAGGAUAAAACAAUUGGAAUGUAACUUUGCUUCGGUAAAGUAUUAUAGACUUUUGCAAUACUGCCAGCCGGGAUUGAGGACUGCGACACUUGUUGUCAAGGAUGCUGGCAUAAUGGUUAUAUGCCGCCCGUCUUGAAACACGGACC
RNAcentral lists this ribosomal RNA (610 nucleotides) under Kazachstania molopis. RNAcentral describes it as "eukaryotic LSU rRNA". It matches the Rfam family "Eukaryotic large subunit ribosomal RNA", at positions 48 to 667 of the family's 3401-position model. The record is from RNAcentral. Lineage: Eukaryota; Fungi; Ascomycota; Saccharomycetes; Saccharomycetales; Saccharomycetaceae.